This is a non-coding RNA of Brachypodium distachyon (stiff brome), 210 nucleotides long. The record is from RefSeq and is marked provisional. NCBI's taxonomy places the organism in Eukaryota, Viridiplantae, Streptophyta, Magnoliopsida, Poales, Poaceae.
UCCUUUUUAUAAGAUGUUCUAGCUUUGUCUCUUGAAGUUUGACCAAGUUUGUAGAACAGUAUACUAAUAUCUAACAGUAUCAAAUAAGUAUACUAUGAAGAUAUAUGCAAUUGAGGAUUUAAUAAAACUAAUUUAGAGUUGUAGAUGUUGGUAUAUUUUUCUAUAAACUUGGUCAAAUUUAAAAAGUUUGAAUUGGAACAAAGCUAGAAC